GAACAGACAGCACGUAAACACGUAAAAAGAGAACGAAUGUUGGCAAACUGUCAAAAAAUCAAAGAUAAAUACACAAAUAGUGUACGGUGAUCUGAAUGAUUGAUUUGUGAAUCUUUGGCCGGAAUGAGACGUGAAAGUGUACGAUCGAGGAUUUUACGUAAAUAAUUGAUCUACCACAACGAUAAUCAGGUACUUUGUCGGGCACUGAAGAAAUUAUAUUUGAUCGGAAACUAUUACUAAGUUGCAAAAGAAUCUACGUCUACGUCGUAAUAACAGCUUUCGUCGUGUUUUAAGAAAUGGCAAAACCAAAGGUCGAGUACGAAAACUUUUUUAUUAGUAGCUGUUUUAUAUAAUACAUCCAGUUCUAAGAGAUUUUGUCGUCGUCAUGCGUAAACCUAAACAAAACAUUAUCGAAUGUUCACCUUCGCUUGAUGUCAAGAACUCUCUUUAUUCAUUCUUAUACGAUAUUUCCUACAGAUAACAUUAUCGGUAAACUCUUCGUUC
Molecule: long non-coding RNA, 504 nt
Organism: Vespa crabro (European hornet)
Lineage: Eukaryota; Metazoa; Arthropoda; Insecta; Hymenoptera; Vespidae
Exons: 5
Source: RefSeq, a predicted model, not a curated record